ACGGAGGGUGCGAGCGUUGUCCGGAAUCACUGGGCGUAAAGGGCGCGUAGGUGGUUUGAUAAGGGUAUGGUGAAAGCCCGGAGCUCAACUCCGGGUCUGCCGUGCCGACUGUCAAACUCGAGGGCUGUAGAGGCAGACAGAAUUCCGGGUGUAGCGGUGGAAUGCGUAGAGAUCCGGAGGAAGACCGGUGGCGAAGGCGGUCUGCUGGGCAGUUUCUGACACUGAGGCGCGACAGCGUGGGGAGCAAACAGGA
This 253-nucleotide ribosomal RNA is filed under the name uncultured prokaryote. Its description in RNAcentral is "partial 16S ribosomal RNA". It matches the Rfam family "Bacterial small subunit ribosomal RNA", at positions 525 to 777 of the family's 1533-position model. The record is from RNAcentral.